Molecule: ribosomal RNA, 559 nt
Filed under: Russula sp. VH-2016j
Lineage: Eukaryota; Fungi; Basidiomycota; Agaricomycetes; Russulales; Russulaceae
Description: partial 12S small subunit ribosomal RNA
Rfam family: Bacterial small subunit ribosomal RNA
Source: RNAcentral
GAAUUUUUGUCAAUGCUCGAAAGAGUGAACUAGCUAACUGAAAUCCAUAAUAAUAAUUGAUAACAUAAGGGAAAAUAAUGAUAUUACCUUAUUAUUAGUGUCGUCCAAAACUGGUGCCAGAAGACUCGGUAAGGCCAGAGACACAAACGUUAAUCGUCUUAAUCAGGCGUAAAGGGUUUGUAGGCGGCUUAAAAUUUUACUUGUAUAAUAAUAAAUAAAAAAAAAAAAUAAGUAAAGAAUAAAAGCUAGAAUCAAAUAGAGGAUAUAUGAAAGAAUGCUUAGAGUAGGUCUGAUAUCCUUAGAUACUAAGUAGAAUAUUAAAGGCGAAAGCUUUUUUCCAUUAAUGAUUGACGCUCAGAAACGAAGGUGAGGAUAGGAAAUAGGAUUAGAUACCCAAAAUACCCCUCUCUGUCAACGAUGAAUGGUAGUUUAUUAGUAAAAAUUAUUAAUGACAAUGUUAACACGAUAACCAUUCCGCCUUGUGAGUACAACUGCAAAGUUGAAAACAAAAAAAUUAGUCGGUUUCGGAGCAAACGAAGUGAAGCAUGUUAUUUAAUUC